GACGAACGCUGGCGGCGUGCUUAACACAUGCAAGUCGAACGAAGAGCGAUGGAAGCUUGCUUCUAUCAAUCUUAGUGGCGAACGGGUGAGUAACGCGUAAUCAACCUGCCCUUCAGAGGGGGACAACAGUUGGAAACGACUGCUAAUACCGCAUACGAUCUAAUCUCGGCAUCGAGGAAAGAUGAAAGGUGGCCUCUAUGUAUAAGCUAUCACUGAAGGAGGGGAUUGCGUCUGAUUAGCUAGUUGGAGGGGUAACGGCCCACCAAGGCGAUGAUCAGUAGCCGGUCUGAGAGGAUGAACGGCCACAUUGGGACUGAGACACGGCCCAGACUCCUACGGGAGGCAGCAGUGGGGAAUCUUCCGCAAUGGACGAAAGUCUGACGGAGCAACGCCGCGUGAGUGAUGACGGCCUUCGGGUUGUAAAGCUCUGUUAAUCGGGACGAAAGGCCUUCUUGCGAAUAGUGAGAAGGAUUGACGGUACCGGAAUAGAAAGCCA
RNAcentral lists this ribosomal RNA (496 nucleotides) under Veillonella parvula. RNAcentral describes it as "bacterial SSU rRNA". It matches the Rfam family "Bacterial small subunit ribosomal RNA", at positions 28 to 493 of the family's 1533-position model. Lineage: Bacteria; Bacillati; Bacillota; Negativicutes; Veillonellales; Veillonellaceae. The record is from RNAcentral.